UGGCCAGCUUCUCGGCCGUGUACGGGUCCCACAGGUCGAUCCACCAGCUGGCGCCACUGAAGGCCGCCGUGGCCAGCAGGGCGCCGUCGGGGGAGAAGUCGCAGGAGGAGAGCAGGUACAGUGUCUUGUGGUUGCCGCCCGUCAGGUUCCUGAUGAAGGUGUACGAGCGCAGACUCCACAGGCACACCAUCUAAGAAAGAAACCAAAAACCACCGUGACCGCCGUCCCGCCCGUGUCCGACUCGGUCGGGAUGCUCGGUAACGGCCGACGCUCACUCUGUCAAACCUCCCCACGGUGGCCAUCAUGCUGCAGUCUGGCGACACGCAGCAGCAGCUGAUCCAGUCCUUGUGGCCUGACAGCACCUGGACCUGCUUACCUGCCCGUACAGUCAUGACAAGUCAGUGGAUUAACCCCGCUUCACUUCUUCUGACACUUAAGAAUUUUACAAACCGUGCCUUUGCGUUACGCACAUGAAUAAACGAUCCAUUUAUAACUCUUUUAUUGUUUAACAUCCUGCUAUUUGCAAUGCUUCACUUCUUUUUACACUUUUUUUUUCCAUAUCACGUGGCUAUUAUGUUUUUGUAAUUACAGGAAGUGCGCGAGUUACGAACGAGUUCCGUUCUACGCUGGUGACGUAACCCGAUUUUCCGCAUAAGUCGCAUUUCACCGUUAAAGUCAAAAUACUCUGUAUAAAAAAACAAAAAUACAUUACAAUAAAAAAAUAAGAUGCUGUACUUACCAUUUCUGUUGAGAGGUGACUGGAGAAGAAGGAGGGGAGGCUGUGAGAGCUAUUGCUGAGGAUGCAUGUGUAGAAAACUUGCUCCGCAAGAUACCCACCCACUCGGAUUCUCUUGGUUAGAUGACCCGGAAAAACUUUUGCAGCAGCUUCAUCUGCGGAAGCAGCUUCCCCCUGGACCCGGAUAUUAUGAAUAUUACCACGGGUCUCAUACUGUAAGCCAGCCCUUGCUAGCGGAAAAUUCCUCCUCCUCAGCGUUCUUGCCUUUUUGCUCUUUCAAAGUUUGGAAAAUACGUCGUGCCUUUUCCUGAAUGAGCAUUAGGCUGAUAUUAAGCCUGCGUUGAUUCUGAUCUUCGAUCCAUAAGGUAAGUCAUCUUUCCAUCUCGGCAAGGAUGGAAGAACGUUGCUUUGUGAUUACUGUGUCCUUCAUAGGGGCGAAACCCUUCACGUGCUUUAAAAUUGUCCUUAAUAAUGGUUGCUACGGUCGACCGACUGAAGCCAAAGUCUUUUCUGAUGUUCGUCGGUGUCUCUCCUUUCUCCAAUCUUUUUAUGAUGUUAUGCUUAGUUUCCAGCUUUUCUUUUGGUUGGACCAUUAUAACCAGAAGACCCAGCUUUCUUCUUUAGGGCAAUAAUGUGAAAAAGGGGGAGCGAAAAAGGCAAACAUACUCCCGGCGCACAAGAACGAUGCACUAGCUAAGCAGAAACACUAUGGUGCUGGGGACAAAAUGGCGGAAGAGGCAUGGGCGUCGUAAAGUCGAAACGUCGUACGUUGGGUACAUUGUAACUCGAGGACUUCCUGUAUUAUGUACUAGUUAAGUCCUUCAUUGGAUCAAUAGUUCAUAUCACUUUAAAUACGUCUGUGUAGGCUCUCAGUCGUACAGGAGUUGUCCAACAAGGGAAAGGCUUCUUGAGACGUCAUCUGUACUUCUGUGAAGAAGGUGUCGGACGUUUCGCUCCUCACCCGAAGAGCUUCGUCAGCGAACUAAUAAGUGCUGGUGUCUUAGGCCUUAAAUACAGUAAGAGUGGGCGGAAUUGGUGUGCCAACACCCUCCUCCUAUUGGUUCCUUACACUAAGACUGGGCGGAGUAGUGGUAUAAUCCUCUCCUGCCAUUAGCACCUCCGAUAAAAGGGAAGUGUAGCUCCCUGUAGUUGGGUAUGAACAAUUCUGAUACUGGCUCGUUAGCAUCUAUUGUUCUGGCUCGGCCCUGGCUCCACCUCAUUUGCAAGACUAAGAGCUGUGGGUUUCGGUCUCAGUAACCUGCUGAACACAGGGUCCAAAUUAAACCUCAAACCACCAUUCCGAUUCAAUGAUGGGUUCUGUUGUUUGACAAAAAUAGCUUCCUUUACUCCUCUUUCAAACCAUCUGUUUUCUUUGGCCAAAAUCUUUACCUCGCUGUCCUGAAAAGAGUGAUUGGUUGCUUUAAGGUGUAGAUGUACUGCUGAUUGAGGACCACUAGAAUUGUCCCCGCGAUGUUGAUAAAGCCUUUUUUGGAGCAUUUGCUUAGUUUCCCCAAUGUAGUGCUCUUUGCAUUCCUCAUCUUUACAGUGGAUGGAAUAGACCACAUUGCUCUGUUUUUGGUUUGGAGCCUUGUCUUUAGGAUGCACUCGUUUUUGUCUCAGGGUAUUUACUGGUUUGAAAUAGGUAGAGCGGAACAAAUACCAACUAGUGCUGAGGGAAAGAAAAAGGAGACACAACAUGUCCAGAGAGCGCUCUCAACCUGUGGGUACCCGCGGUGGGCUUUUAACAAAUGUCAAAAGAAGAGAGUAGGGAAAGAAACCCAAAAGCCCACAGAAGCAAAAAGGAGAGGAGUGGUAGUCCCUUAUGUAGCUGGGGUCUCCGAAAAACUCCAGAGGAUCUUAUGACAACACAAAAUUCCUACCUAUACCUAUAUUUCAUGUGGGCAAUGACAGUGUGACCUGGAGGGGCAUGAUUGGGAGGAACGGCCUCCCCGAUCUGAAUCCGUGCAGUGUGAUGUUGUUGGACUUCUGUGCGAACGACAGUUUGUUCAUCACAAACAUCAUGUUCCAACAUAGGGAUGUCCACAAGUGCACAUGGCACCAGGACACCCUAGGCUGCAGGUCUAUGAUCGACUUUGUAGUUGUAUCAUCAGACCUGCGUCCGCAUGUUCUAGACAUGUGGGUGAAGAGAGGGGUUGAGCUGUCAACUGAUCACCACCUGGUGAUGAGUUGGAUUAGAUGGCGGGGGAGGAUUCCGGACAGACCUGGGAGACCCAAACAUGUAGUGAGGGUGUGCUGGGAACUUUUGGUAGAGUCUCCUGUUGGUCGAGUCUUCAGCUCUCACCUCCGGCAGAGUUCCGCCUGCACCCCGGGGGAGGAUGAGGAUAUUAAGUCUGAAUGGGCUCUAUUCCGUGCCUCCAUUGCUGAGGCAGCUUAUGGGAGCUGCGGCCGCAAGGUGGUCGGUGCCAUUCGUGGCGGCAAGCCCGGAACGUGAUGGUGGACACGAGAGGUUAGGGCUGCUGUCAAGCUGAAGAAGGAGUCCUAUCGAGCAUGGAUGGCUUGCGGGACUCCUGAAGCAGCUGAUAGGUACCAGCAGGCCAAGCGGCACGCGGCUUCAGCGGUGGUGGAGGCAAAAACUCGGGUGUGGGAGGAGUUCGGUGAGGCCAUGGAGCAUGGUUUUCGGUUGGCCUCGAAGAGGUUCUGGCAAACCGUCUGGCGCCUCAGAAAGGGGAAGCAGUGCCUGGUCCACACUGUUUACAGUGGGGACGGGGGCCUGCUGACCUCGACUGAGGCUAUAGUCGGACGGUGGAAGGAAUACUUUGAGGCCCUUCUCAAUCCUACUGACAUACCUUCCAUAGAGGAAGCAGAGUCUGAGGACAGAAACGCGGACAGUUCCAUCACCGUGGCUGAGGUAUCUGGGGCAGUCAAAACGCUCCCCAGUGGCAAAGCUCCGGGGGUGGACGAGUUUCGCCCUGAAUUCCUCAAGGCCCUGACUGUCUUGGCUGACGCGUCUCUUGAACAUUGCGUGGAAGUUGGGAACAGUACCUCUGGAUUGGCAGACUGCGGUGGUGGUCCCCUUUUUCAAGAAGGGUGACCGGAGGGUGUGUUCCAACUACAGGGGGAUCACACUCCUCAGCCUCCCUGGGAAAGUCUAUUCCAGGGUGCUGGAGAGAAGGGUACGACCGUUAAUCGAACCUCCGCCAAGGCUGCCAUUUGUCACCGAUUCUGUUCAUCAUUUUCAUGGACAGAAUUUCUAGGUGCAGCCAAGGUGUCAAGGGAGUCCAGUUCGGGGGCCUUACAAUCAUCUCUGCUAUUUGCAGACAAUGUGGUCCUGGUGGCCUCAUCGGACUGUGACCUGCAGUGUUUACUGGGACGGUUUGCAUCUGAGUGUGAAGCUUCUGGGAUGAGACUCAGCACCUCCAAAUCUGAGGCCAUGGUUCUCAGUCGGAAAAGGGUGGAUUGCUUCCUCCGGGUUGGGAAUGAGGUCCUGCCCCAGGUGGAGGAGUUCAAGUAUCUCGGGGUCUUGUUCACGAGUGAGGGAAGGUUGGAGCGUGAGGUCGACAGGCGGAUCAGCGCAGCGUCUGCAGUAAUGCGGUCGCUGUACCGGACUGUCGUGGUGAAGAGAGAGCUGAGCCGGAAGGCAAAGCUCUCAAUUUACCGAUACAUCUAUGUUCCCACCCUCACCUAUGGUCAUGAGCUUCGGGUUGUGACCGAAAGAACGAGAUCGCGGAUGCAAGCGGCUGAAAUGAGUUUCCUCCGUAGGGUAGCUGGACUCACCCUAAGAGACAGGGUGAGGAGCUCAGUCAUCCGGGAGGAGCUCAGAGUAGAGCCGCUGCUCCUUCACAUCGAGAAGAGACAUUUGAGGUGGCUCGGGCAUCUAAUCCGGAUGCCUCCCUGGUGAUGUGUUCCGGGCAUUAUUAAUAUUUCUAUCAAUAAAUGUUCAUAUUUAAUGUCACUUGUUUUUAAAAUGAUUAUCAAUUAAUAUUAUUUUUGAUUAAAACAUACAUCCAUAGUUAAUAUCACGUCUUUUUACACUUCAAAUGAUUAUUAUUUAAAAAAAUAGAUUUUACUUCUUUUCACACUUGGGUGGCAGUUAAAGUGAAGUAGGCGAGUUAAGGUGAGUCUGUGCUUGUUUUGUUGGAUAUUCUAUUUUUAUAAUUGUUAUGUCUUAAUAUUUCUAUGAAAUAAUUGGACUAAUUAUUUUACAUGAUUUCUUCAAGUGAUUUUUUUUUUUUUUUCCAACAGAGUACACCAAUUUGGGAGUCUGACCAAAACUGCUACAGCAUCAUUGAAUGUUUUGCUAUUUGCUAACUUGUGGCUAACUUCUUUUUACACUUGAAUGACAGCCAAGAACGCUGAAUCACCUUUGUGCAUAAGGUCCCAGAUCCUCAAAGUCUUGUCCCGGGACGAGGACACAAGGGUGAGCGUCCCGUUCCGAGGGAACACGAGGUGGCGAACGACGCCUUCGUGGCCGUGGAGGUCAAACACGGCCACGCCUGAUGGACACGCGGGAAUAAAAGCAUCAAGUAGAGACAACGGCGGCGUCCUCGACAGGAGGCCGCCUUUGGGGGUCUGGGUCCGAAAGCGAGCCCCCACACGGGAUGACCGCAGCUGAAGCUCUUGUCUCCUCGGUCCACGCCCCCGUCCUGACCUUCUCUGUGGAGGACAACCCACAAAAGAUGGAAGGUGGGGUGCGUACAGGACGGGAUGUGGUGGAUCUGGACCAGGGUGGUGUGACCCGUGUCCGUCAGCGGGGGCAGUCGAGGGACGGGCGCCUGGAAGAUCUGCUCGUCGUCCGACUCCACCAGGCUCAGCACGUCGCCUCUGUCGUCGUCGUCGUCGUGCGGGCGCCUGAAGAGACGCGACGAGGUGAGGAGAUGUCUGAAUGAUUUGUCUCAAAAUGUUAGGAUUGCCUCAAAUAGCGGCCUCCGCUCUAAUGGACGCCCUUCCCCUAAACAGUCAAUAUGACAAAUUGGACCAGUUUUUAACAGAAUGAAAGCCUGAAAUGAGAAGAUGCAUGUUUCUAUUGUCUAAUUGCAAUGUGUUGAAAACAAAUGGUGCUUAGAAUGGACGUCAGUGGGACCUCAACAGCUCGGAAAUUUGGAAUCGGGCCCGGAAAUAAACUUAAAGCAUCAAAAUCAAUUUUAUUACUAAUCUUAUGUACGUAUAUUUAAGCCUAACACGUAUUAUAUGGAAAAUAACUCAUUUUGUGAGUGUUUUUCUAAGCAAAAACAGUGCAUCAAACGGGCAUUUAGAGGGUUAAAAUAUACAUUUUUGAUAUUUUGUCAUUAGAACUCAAGUUGACUGACAUGCUUGAAUAAAAAAUAAAUGGAUCUGUUAUGUUUUUAUAACAGUUUUUGGGAGUAGACGUUUUUUUGUCCUCUGGGAUCCCGAAACGGUGGGUAUAUUUGGCGUGAGCCUCAAAUUUUAAAUUUGAACUUAAUGAUUUUUCAUGAAAAAAACCAUCUUAGGAAAAGUCGUGCCACAUGGAGUAACACAAGCCAAGUUAUGAGCAAAAAAAAAAGCAAAAAAUGUACCUGCAAAAGGCAAAAAGAAGUCCUGAGGGACCCCAGAGGGUGAAAGGAAGACUGCACUUUUUUGGGGUGGGGGAAUUUAGCCCAUCAUCCAUGAUGCUUAUGUGAAACACGAACACAUCUUUCCCUUGUCCGUGCGUUCUAAAGGGAGAAUCAUGGCGAGCUGAGGGCGCCAACAAUGGACGUAAUGGGACGAUGAAGCCCUCUAAGAAAAGCCCCAGCACGGUUUGGGAGCAUGUAGUAACAGCUACGUUCAUGGCACCACGGAGUACUUCAUGUCUUCAUGCUUCACAUAAGGACUGGGGGAAAAACUCCCCCCAAAAGUGCGGAGUUGAGUGAACAAAUGGUGGCGUUGGCCAAGCUGACUCACCCAAAGGCUCCUCCUGCAAGACAACACACGGGGGGAAAGUCAGCACGUGCGCGCACGGCGUCGUUCCGCGUCUUUGGCCAAACAUCUUGAACUUACCCAGGCAGACUCUGUGCCGGUUGGCGUAAACCACCUUGGCCACCACCACGGCCCAGCCCACGAUGAGCGCUGCGAUGAACACGCCCACGAUGGCGCCCGUGUACGCCGAGGAAGACGCUGUGGGGACACGGGGAAAAAAGGCAGGGCGGGGCGGCCGGUUUGUCAGCAUUCCUCCGACACGUUUGCAUCUCUAAAAAGUACACGAGUGCUGCCGACACGCAGCAUAUCAUGCACGGUCUGACCACAUGUGCCUCACCUCUCACUGUGAGGUAGACCUCCAGCUCGCUCACGCCCAGCGGGUUCUCGCUGCGGCAGAAGUAGACGCCCUCGUCGUCCUUGCUGACGUUGGCAAUGGUCAGCCGGCAAGCGGGGCCGUCCUCGGACAGGAAGUACUUGGCGCCGACGACCACUUCCGCAUGCUCCAGGCCCCGCCUCCAGGUGGUGGCGGCGGGCGGGGUGGACGUGGACUCGGUGCAGGCGAGCGUGAUGUUGCUCCCCUCCUGAGCCGAGACCAGCGGCUCGCCUUCGGGGUACGGAGGCUCUGGAGGCGAGCAGCAAGUUGAAAAAAACAAAACAAAACAACAACAAGGUCGUACUUACCAAGCAAAAAGGAACACGAGCGUUCCCGCGCACGAGCGAGCGCCAGGUGCUGCGCCGUGCACCUGACUGUCUGACCGCCAGACAGCAGCGAGCGGUUCAGCGCCACCGUCAGGCUGUCCGUCACCUCCGAGGCGAAGACGCGCCCGGCCCCCUGCUCGCCCUGGUCCUCGGCCCAGCGCAGCGUGGGCGGCGGGUACGCCCCGGGCCAGCUGCAGUUGAAGAGCACCCGCGUGCGGUCCUGGGACUGGACCCACGUGCACUCAGGGUGUCUGUCUGGAACGUCUGGACCGCAUUCAAACACAACUUCAAUGGAUUUGCCAACUUUGCGCACAAAAACCAUUGAAUUGUAAACAUUUGGCAUAAAGUUGUGCAUUUCAAGGGUUAGCCUACUUUUCAGAUUUCAAUUGGUAACAUUUCACACUAAUUUGAACCUUUCACUUUUCAUAGAAAGGCUUCAUGGACACUUAAACAGUUUCAGCGCUCAUUCUCUAACUUCUCCUACAAAUUUGGACUCAGAUUUACGUGUUUUCCACAUCAUUUCGGGUGAUUUUUCGUACAAAGUUACACCCCAGAUUGAAAUCUUUCUUGCUAACUUUUCCUCCCCAAAAAAACCCCAUUCAAAUGUAAACAGUGUGUGUCAUGUUAUGCGUAUUCAACGUACAUUUACUGCAACACUUUCAACUUGCUAAUGCUAACUUUCCGUAGAAUGUUUAAAGAGAAUCAACGCUCAUUCUGUAACUUCUCGUACAAAUUUUGACUCUGGUUGUCGCGUUUCGGGUCAUUUUUUGUACAAAGUUACACCCAAAUGGAAAUGUUUCUUCAAUCUCUUGCUAACUUUUCGUAGAAAGUCUUUCAAAGUUUUCGAGACUUGAAUGUUUAAAGAGAAUCAACACUCGUUCUGCAACUUUUCAUACAAAUUUUGACUCCUAAUGAUGUGUAUUCCACAUCAUUUCGGGUGAUUUUUCAUACAAAGUUACACCCAAAUUGAAAUGUUUCUGCCAUUUCUUGCUAACUUUUCCUCCAAAAAAAGCAUUGAAAUGUAAAGAGUUUGCAUAAUGGUAUGCGUAUUUAACAUGCAGUCAUUGCAACUGUUUCAACUUGCUAUUGCUAACUUUGCAAAGAGAGUUUUUACAUUUUUUGAUUUUUUUAUUUAAUUGGUAACAUUUCGCACAAAUUUUCUUGAAAUGUUUCCAAGUUCUCCGUCAUUAUUCAUACGGUGUUUCAGCUAAAUGUAUCAUUUUUUUCCCAAAAUGACUCAAAUUGAAUGCAGUCAAGCAGACUCAAGCUUAUUUUGCUAACUUGAAAGUCAUUUUUGAGGGAAAAGACUUACAGUAGACCAGCAGCUGGGCGCUCUUGUUGGCCGCCUGGUGCGUGACGGUGUUGUUCGCCGUGCAGCUGUACACCCCCUGAGCGUCGGCCUGGAUGUCCUUCAGCCUAAAGUCCAGCCAGGGCGCCUCUGCGGUGGACGCCAGCGAGCCGUUGCCGGCACCCGCCCCUCUGAAGGUCCAGGUGAGAUGCUGGGACGGGUACGAGGAGGCCACGCAGUGGAAGGACACUGUGGAGCCGCGGUAGGUGACCAGCGUGCCGUUGGACAGGAGGGUGGUGGGGACGAUGGAAAUGGACACGUUUGCCGGAGCGCCUGGAGGACCACGCUGAUCUUAAACAUCUUCGUUCUUCUCACGCGGAAAACAAAACUUUUUUUCUUGGUAGAAUACAAUUUUUCUUUGAAUAUUUUUACUUUAAUCUCCUGAAAUUGCAGUACGUCUGUUUAUUCCAUUCAUCCUGUUUGUUUUUUUCCCCAAUAUUUGCAUGUUUGUUCUUGUAAUAUGACUUUAUUUACAUAUUUUGAAUUUGUUCCCAGAAUAUUACAACCUUUUUACACACCCUCAUUUUCCAAACGUGACUUUAUUUUGUUUUGUUUCUCAUGUGAUGUUUUUUUUUUUUACCUUUUUCAAUAUUUCAACUCUAUGCUACUAAAAUGACAUUAUUUUUCCUCAUAAUAUUAUGACGUUAUUCUUGUCAAUAUUUGGAUUUUAUCCUCGUGAAAUUUCAGCUAUUUUUCCCCUUUCUGAUGGGGGAGGGGUGGGGGGUUCAACUUUCUUGUUGAAUUUUUUUCUCUCGUAAUGAUGACUUUAUUCCCAGAAUAUUUUGACAUUAUUCUCAGAACACUAUUUUUUUCUGGAACUUAAUUUUCCAAAAAAUUUAAACUUGUAGUUUUUAAAAUGUAUUUUUCCAAAUUUUAUAUUAGAUUUUAGUGCUACUAAAAUGACAUUUUUGGUCCCCCAAAUAAAAUGUGUUUUUGCCAUAUAGUGAGACAUGCAGUGUGUAUUGUGACUUAAUCUGCCAAAUAAAGGUCAUGUGGCGUCGACGUUACUUACUCGCCACCAGCAGCAGGACGCG
Long non-coding RNA from Dunckerocampus dactyliophorus (ringed pipefish), 9694 nucleotides. RefSeq lists it as uncharacterized. The transcript has 3 exons. The record is from RefSeq and is a predicted model, not a curated record. NCBI's taxonomy places the organism in Eukaryota, Metazoa, Chordata, Actinopteri, Syngnathiformes, Syngnathidae.